UCCCCUAGUAACUGCGAGUGAAGCGGGAAAAGCUCAAAUUUAAAAUCUGGCGGUCUCUGUGGCCGUCCGAGUUGUAAUUUAGAGAAGCGUUUUCCGCGCCGGUCCGUGUACAAGUCUCCUGGAACGGAGCGUCGUAGAGGGUGAGAAUCCCGUCUUUGACACGGACAGCCGGUGCUAUGUGAUACGCUCUCGAAGAGUCGAGUUGUUUGGGAAUGCAGCUCAAAACGGGUGGUGAACUCCAUCUAAAGCUAAAUAUUGGCGAGAGACCGAUAGCGAACAAGUACCGUGAGGGAAAGAUGAAAAGCACUUUGGAAAGAGAGUGAAACAGUACGUGAAAUUGCUGAAAGGGAAACGCUUGAAGUCAGUCGCGUCCGCCGGGACUCAGCCCUCGUGGUGUACUUUCCGGCGGACGGGCCAGCAUCACUUUCGGUCGUCGGAUAAGGGCGGGGGAAAUGUGGCACCCUUCGGGGUGUGUUAUAGUCCCCCGUCGUAUACGUCGGCCGGGAGUGAGGACCGCCUUUGUUGCAGGAUGCUGGCGUAAUGGCUUUAAACGACCCGUCUUGAAACACGGACCAAGGAGUCUAACAUGCCCGCGAGUGUUCGGGUGGCAAACCCGUGCGCGUAAUGAAAGUGAAAGGUUGGGAAGGCUGUCGUGGCCUGCACCGACGCCCGGACCUGAGAUUCAUCGACGGUUCUGCGGUAGAGCGUGUAUGUUGGGACCCGAAAGAUGGUGAACUAUGCCUGAAUAGGGUGAAGCCAGAGGAAACUCUGGUGGAGGCUCGUAGCGAUUCUGACGUGCAAAUCGAUCGUCGAAUUUGGGUAUAGGGCGAAAGACUAAUCGA
This 842-nucleotide ribosomal RNA is filed under the name Baltazaria galactina. Its description in RNAcentral is "LSU rRNA". It matches the Rfam family "Eukaryotic large subunit ribosomal RNA", at positions 76 to 938 of the family's 3401-position model. The record is from RNAcentral. Lineage: Eukaryota; Fungi; Basidiomycota; Agaricomycetes; Agaricales.